GAAAUGCGAUAAUUAAUGUGAAUUGCAGAGUUCAGUGAAUCAUCGAGUCUUUGAACGCACAUUGCGCCCCCUGGUAUUCCGGGGGGCAUGCCUGUCCGAGCGUCAUUGCUGCCCUCAAGCACGGCUUGUGUGUUGGGCUUCCGUCCCUGGCAACGGGGACGGGCCCAAAAGGCAGUGGCGGCACCAUGUCUGGUCCUCGAGCGUAUGGGGCUUUGUCACCCGCUCCCGUAGGUCCAGCUGGCAGCUAGCCUCGCAACCAAUCUUUUUAACCAGGUUGACCUCGGAUCAGGUAGGGAUACCCGCUGAACUUAAGC
This 314-nucleotide unclassified non-coding RNA is filed under the name plant metagenome. RNAcentral's name for it is "partial contains 5.8S ribosomal RNA, internal transcribed spacer 2, and large subunit ribosomal RNA". The stretch from base 1 to 105 matches the Rfam family "5.8S ribosomal RNA", at positions 50 to 154 of the family's 154-position model. The record is from RNAcentral.